ACAUGCUGUUUGUGACCAUCUUCGGCCUUGGACUGUGCGUGUUUUAUGUACACUUUGGAUAUUGCGGGAGGAAUCUGAUACUUCUAAGAAUGACAAAAUUAACAGCAACGCUGAGUGUUUGCUCACCUGUCCUUUGAAGCGCACGUCAUCCCAGGCUCUCAUCUCUGGGGCCCUCUGCGGGAAGCCUAAACCCUUCUCAAACGGCUGGGUGCCCCGGAAGUGCCCUCGUAGAAUUUCCGAGUGGCCCAUGUCCCUCACGGGCUGCAGCAAAGCCUCUUGGGACAAAUGAGAUUGGUCUCCGUCCAUGGAGUUGCAGCAUGACGAUAUCAUAGUGUCAAUGACCGGUCUGGAUUUUGUCUGGUUGGCCACCCAGGCCUGUGCGUUUGUGACUGGGGUCCACCCUGGAGCUGUUUGUUCUUGCAGGUGAGACCGGGUGACUCACUGAGUCGGGCAUACACCCUUUGCUGUCCUGAAACAAGAGAAAGCCCUUCCUCUGAGCCCUGACACCCUCCACCUCCUCCUCCUCCUCCUUCUCUUCCUCCUCCUUCAUUGCCACCAGUCGUGCUAGCGACGACCGAUAACUCCGAACUCGCCUCUGACCCCUGACCAUUGUUCAGUCCGUUAAGAUUGAUACCAGCGAUGGUGCCGCCGAGCGAGGCCGGCGUGGCGGUGCUAAGCGAGUCAACGCCCAUCUCCGAAUCGUCCUCGGGCAUUUCGAUUGAGCCGCUCAGCACGACGCCCCCUCCGCUGGCGGCGCUAGCCCGACUGGCCGGCCGACCCAGACUUCCGUAGGGCAACCCGAGCAGGCCCUCUGAGUCGUCGGCAUUACUGCACUCCAGCGAGGAAUCCUCCACAGGCACCAGAGAUGGGGAGUUGCCCGAGGGCCACACCUGCACGUCGGACAUCUCCAUGAGGGUGUCUUCUUCUGUGGUGGCAAUGGGCGCGCAGUCCAGGCUGGAGACCUCCUGCCAGUAAGGCUCAGCGCCCAGAGGCGAGGGCAGGUUGUACUGCAUGGAGGCCGGGGACAGAAGCUCAUCCUGCGCCAGCCCAUAACCUGGAGUGACACACAGAAAAGCACACUCACACCCGGCCCCCCCACCUUGCUCCCCACCUCACAAGCGCGGCACUGGGAACCUGGGAAGGGGGAGAGCGCCCCUUUGCCCAGGAGCUUGGCAAAAUGGGGAGGGGUAGAGGAGGCUGAAGGUGAUGGAAACGGGAAAGGACUAGGAAGCAAUUACAAGACGAGCCAAAACAAUCAGAGAGGUAUAGGAGUGCAAAGUGCUGAGAAAAAAGAGCAAGGAUUUUUUUUGGGAAGAUUAGGGGGGUUUCAGUAGAAGCAGCAGCAGACACAUAUGGACCAACAAAGUUAGACCAAGGCCCACUUGAGACUGAUGCUGCUCUGCUGGCUGCCACCUGCAGGGAGACGACAACGGUAACAGCUCCCCCUAAAAUGGAGCUGAUUCGUCCAUCCAGCAUGCUGUAAUCAACCUGCUCGCAACAUGUGCCUCUCAUCCAGACACACUAGAUCGCCAUCACACGUCUGCAUGCAUUCAACCCCGCAGGUUGAUAAUGUCAGGCUGGAGAGCAUGCAUGCAGGCAAUCUCAGUCACAUACAUACAACACACGCUCUUUGUGGUCUCCAAAAAUUCUCAUCCAAUCAAAACAUUUGAACUUACAGGUAUUGGAGAGUUUCUAUGUUGUGGAAAUAUUCAGUAUUAAAUUAGAUGAAUCACAUUAGAGAAGCGGCUGUGGACUCAGGUCACUCCCACAUCUGUGAUAAAUUAGAAGGCUUGCUAUAUAUACGUACUACAGCACAGCAGCAGGAGUUCUAUUCAUUUUACUUUGUUAUGCCAAAUAAGACUGCACCAAAACAUAACUUGUAAUCUGCAUGAAAGUGAUGAGCUGGGGUGAACUUAAGCUGACGUAAGCAAAGUAAACAGGCUGUAAAGUGGAACGUAGAGCAUACAGUGAAAUAGGAGGAAUAUACCCCCCUCCCCUCCCACCACAAGCAUGCGUUCAUGCACAGCAGAAAGAGAGCAAGAGGACAGUAAGUGUCAGCGUUUCAUUCAGUUCAUGCUUGAGCACUGCUGAGACUGCAGCAGACAUCCGAGACAACUUGCGACCUCAACCACCUUGUGACCUACAUGCUACACUGCCUUUCACACUCCAAACUGCUGCAGUGACGAGUGCCUGUUGCUUGUUACAUUGUCUAAAAAUAUGAAAUUCAUUGUAAAGGGCCAUAGACUUUUAUGUUGUAAUAUCAAAUAUAAUAGGGGGAAUAUAAUUACUAUUUCCCAUGUUACCAGUAGUUUACAGUAAAAAAAAAAAAAAGUAAAAAAAACAACAACCUUAAUUCAGUUGACUUAAUGAAUUGCAAAUAAGCAGUUCUCUGCUCCAGAAAACCGCGACAAUGCAGUUUAUUGCCCCUGACCAAGGUGAGUAUUUUGAAAUGCUGGUCAAAGUUGGAGUCAGUUGUUUAGAAUUCAAUUAAGUAUCUGUAUAUAUUAUGAGGUAUAGUAAUUUGUAUUCAUUGGUUUUACUAAAAAUCAGCAUCCACUUGUUGAGAUCACCAGUUUUUCCUAGGAGUCUGCAAUGCAGCAUAAUAAAUGACAGUAGUUAUCUA
Molecule: long non-coding RNA, 2623 nt
Organism: Syngnathus typhle (broad-nosed pipefish)
Lineage: Eukaryota; Metazoa; Chordata; Actinopteri; Syngnathiformes; Syngnathidae
Exons: 3
Source: RefSeq, a predicted model, not a curated record